GAAUUUAAUAUAAAUAUUUUUAUAAUUUUAUUAAAAUAGAUAAGGAUUUUUAUAUUUAGUUGGGAGGAUUGUUAAAUUUUAUUAACUUAAAUUAAUAUAAUAAAUAUUAAUUAAUGAAUUUAAGAAUGGUUAUGAUAAUUAAAUAAGAAUUAAUUACCUUAGGGAUAACAGCAUAAUAUUUUUGGAGAGAUCAUAUCGAUGAAAAUGUUUGU
This 212-nucleotide ribosomal RNA is filed under the name Megalomyrmex sp. IT14.01. RNAcentral describes it as "partial large subunit ribosomal RNA". The record is from RNAcentral. Lineage: Eukaryota; Metazoa; Arthropoda; Insecta; Hymenoptera; Formicidae.